GGCAGCCGCGGUAAUUCCAGCUCCAAUAGCGUAUAUUAAAGUUGUUGCAGUUAAAAAGCUCGUAGUUGAAUUUCGGGGUUAGUAGGCUGGUCAUGCCUCUGGUAUGUACUGGUCUCACUGAUUCCUCCUUCCUGAUGAGCCGUAAUGCCAUUAAUUUGGUGUUGCGGGGAAUUUGGACUGUUACUUUGAAAAAAUUAGAGUGUUUAAAGCAAGCUAACGCUUGAAUACAUUAGCAUGGAAUAAUGAAAUAGGACGUUCGAUCCUAUUUUGUUGGUUUCUAGGAUUGACGUAAUGAUUAAUAGGGAUAGUUGGGGGCAUUAGUAUUCAAUUGUCAGAGGUGAAAUUCUUGGAUUUAUUGAAGACUAACUACUGCGAAAGCAUUUGCCAAGGAUGUUUUCAUUAAUCAAGAACGAAAGUUAGGGGAUCGAAGACGAUCAGAUACCGUCGUAGUCUUAACCAUAAACUAUGCCGACUAGGGAUCGGAUGAUGUUAAUUUUUUAAUGUACUCA
Molecule: ribosomal RNA, 509 nt
Filed under: uncultured Glomeraceae
Lineage: Eukaryota; Fungi; Glomeromycota; Glomeromycetes; Glomerales; Glomeraceae
Description: SSU rRNA
Rfam family: Eukaryotic small subunit ribosomal RNA
Source: RNAcentral